UUUUAAUGAUGAGCCAAACUAGCUCACUUUGAUUUUACUAUAAACAUGAAAAUAUUUGAACAACUGAGAAAC
Chelonoidis abingdonii (Abingdon island giant tortoise) is the source of this 72-nucleotide small nucleolar RNA. The record is from Ensembl. Lineage: Eukaryota; Metazoa; Chordata; Testudines; Testudinidae.